Long non-coding RNA from Sapajus apella (tufted capuchin), 1737 nucleotides. RefSeq lists it as uncharacterized. The record is from RefSeq and is a predicted model, not a curated record. The transcript has 2 exons. Lineage: Eukaryota; Metazoa; Chordata; Mammalia; Primates; Cebidae.
GUGAGCCAAGAUUGCACCACUGUACUCCAGCCUGGACGACAAAGCAAGACUCGUCUCAGAAACAACAACAACAACAACAGGAUAUUAGCUUGUCAUAGUGGCUCACGUCAGUAAUUCCAGCUACACAGGAGAAUCCCUGAGGGCAGGAAUUUGCCCUGGGCCACAUAGCAAGACUGCAUCUAAAAAAAUUAAUUAAUUUAAUUUAAAUAAAUAAAUAAAUAAAAGGUGAUGUUUAUUGGGGAGAACAUAGAGCCACAAGCCAAAUUGUCCUAUACUGCAUUCCACCGCAGUCUGCAUAACUUUGGCCGUCAUUGUAUGGUGUUAUCUAACAUACACCUUAUCUGAAAGAAAGUUUAGAAUCAAUUUUGCAGUUUUAGUAAAAUUCUGUGGUUUUCUGUGUAUCGAAUGAUGGUGAAUACUGUAGGUUUCAAGGGAGGGAGUGAAUGCUUCUAAGUAUGACAUAAAUCCCAAGAGCUGUAAAAAUAAAAUUGUUAUAUUUAAUUAUAUAAUUAAAACACUUGUGUGCUGCCAAAGCAAACACAGUUACAUAAUUUAAACACUUCGUUUAGUACAAGAUAACAUUUUUAAAGCUACAGUAACAGAGGGGAAAAUAUCUAUAACACAUAUAAUAAAUAAUUAAAAUUUCUCAUUUUUAAAGUGUUCUUCCAUCUCAUUCACUAAAAGACAACCAAGUAUAAAAAUGGGUUACCUUGUAGAGCAAUGGACAUAUAAAUGUGCAAGGAAUAUAUGGAUAGAAGCAGUGAUGUCUUUCAUUUUGUACUAAUUACAUUGGUUUUAAAAAAACCUGAUAACCACCAUUGGCAAGACUUCUGAAGAAUGCAUUCUCAUGCUUGUGUCAUUGUAAAUUCGUACAUUUUCAGAAGACAGUUAAGGAGUACUCUGCCCCUUUGACUCCUGCAUUGUGUAUAAUAGAAAAAAUUAGCAAAAAUUAAUAAAUGGAGUAUGCAUGCAUGAUGUAAUACUAUGCAGCUGUUUAAAAAAAUAGCUGUAUUGAUGUAUUAAAAACCUACAUGUAAGUGUGUUCAUGUGUGUGUGUGUAUCUCUAAACUUGUGUAUUUAUAAGCAUUAAAAAAGUCUGAUAAGUCACCAAUUUCAGUUAAUGAAUACUUGUAAGAAGAAUGGAAGUAUAUUUGAACAAAAACAUUUAACUCCCAGAAUUAGGCAUUUUGGGUGGUGAGUCCUUAGGGUUUUCUUAAAUGCUACUUCUACUGAUAGUGUCUAUUGCCAUUUUUCUGUAUUACAUUACUCUCUUUAUAAAAGUAUUCUUUCAGAGUCCUCCUAUUGUUUAUCUCCUUUACAGCUGCCCUUCUACCCAUGCCCAGCUACCUAGGAAGUCUUCUUUUAGCCAAAAAUGCAAUAAUGGAUUUAUUUUGCUUUCAGGAAAUAGAAAUUUCAACAGAAUGUAAACAGAAAUCACACUAAUGUGUCAUUUGAAAGGCUAUAUUAGUAACAAUUUGGGUGUGAAUAAGGUGGUGGUGCUGGUGGUCAUGUUCAUGUUCAUGGGAUAAUAAACUAAUUAUCAGGCCUUUUCAGUUACGCUAAAUUUGGUCUUCCUGGUGUGACUUGGUUAUUUUGCUUGAAAUAGAUAUUCAAAAUAUCAACAAGUGAUGAAGUUCAGCUUGAAUUCCAGUUGUGUGCAGUGAGUUGUAUACAUACAGUGUUCAGCCUCACAAGUAUCUCUGCAAAUUAGAAGAAUUAAACAGCUUUUCAGAAAGA